GCGGGAAUAGCUCAGCUGGUAGAGCAUCUCGUUGCCAACGAGAAGGUCGCGGGUUCGAAUCCCGUUUCCCGCUCCA
This 76-nucleotide transfer RNA is filed under the name Bacillota bacterium. RNAcentral describes it as "tRNA-Gly". It matches the Rfam family "tRNA". Rfam says of the family: Transfer RNA (tRNA) molecules are approximately 80 nucleotides in length. Their secondary structure includes four short double-helical elements and three loops (D, anti-codon, and T loops). Further hydrogen bonds mediate the characteristic L-shaped molecular structure. tRNAs have two regions of fundamental functional importance: the anti-codon, which is responsible for specific mRNA codon recognition, and the 3' end, to which the tRNAs corresponding amino acid is attached (by aminoacyl-tRNA synthetases). tRNAs cope with the degeneracy of the genetic code in two manners: having more than one tRNA (with a specific anti-codon) for a particular amino acid; and 'wobble' base-pairing, i.e. permitting non-standard base-pairing at the 3rd anti-codon position. RNAcentral also lists the same sequence under 2 other names. The record is from RNAcentral. Lineage: Bacteria; Bacillati; Bacillota.